CUGUUCUCGAAUAGACGCAUAAAACACCACCCCUACCACAUCCUGAUCGACCCAGUCGACCUCGUGCCCAGCGCACAACCGUUUACACAUUCCCCACAAUCACACUCGUUAAAAUAGCGGAAAGCCGUCCAGGGCCCCCGUCGACCAACUCGUAUUCCUACCGCAGCGCAAACCAUGCAACUCGAACAAGCCAUCGUCCCCAUGGGGUUCUUUCUGGCGGGCGUCGCCGUCACCGGUCUCGUCGCGCUGGGCGUACUCAUACGCAUAUCGACCACCUUUAGAAUUCCCUUUUGAUCAACAAGACGCUCUGUCGUAUCGUAUUUCCAUGUCUAUCUUCAAAAAAAAUAAAUCCUCUCUUUGACUGA
Molecule: long non-coding RNA, 365 nt
Filed under: Pandoravirus salinus
Description: putative ncRNA
Source: RNAcentral